ACGUGAUUAGAAAGAAUAGCCUCCUGGAUCUAAACCUGAGCCUUGUUCUGUUGUUGGACUCCUGUGCUAGUCAUGGAUUGCCCAUAACAAAGACCAUGUUCAAGAAUAAGAGGGUCCACAUGUGAAC
Molecule: long non-coding RNA, 127 nt
Organism: Melanotaenia boesemani (Boeseman's rainbowfish)
Lineage: Eukaryota; Metazoa; Chordata; Actinopteri; Atheriniformes; Melanotaeniidae
Exons: 3
Source: RefSeq, a predicted model, not a curated record